CAGUCGCCGCGGUAACACGAAGGGGGCUAGCGUUGCUCGGAAUUACUGGGCGUAAAGGGAGCGUAGGCGGACAUUUAAGUCAGGGGUGAAAUCCCAGAGCUCAACUCUGGAACUGCCUUUGAUACUGGGUGUCUUGAGUGUGAUAGAGGUAUGUGGAACUCCGAGUGUAGAGGUGAAAUUCGUAGAUAUUCGGAAGAACACCAGUGGCGAAGGCGACAUACUGGAUCAUUACUGACGCUGAGGCUCGAAAGCGUGGGGAGCAAACAGGAUUAGAUACCCCCGUAGUCCCUGUCUCUUAUAA
Molecule: ribosomal RNA, 301 nt
Filed under: uncultured bacterium
Lineage: Bacteria
Description: partial 16S ribosomal RNA
Rfam family: Bacterial small subunit ribosomal RNA
Source: RNAcentral